Long non-coding RNA from Vidua chalybeata, 476 nucleotides. RefSeq lists it as uncharacterized. The record is from RefSeq and is a predicted model, not a curated record. Lineage: Eukaryota; Metazoa; Chordata; Aves; Passeriformes; Viduidae. The transcript has 3 exons.
ACACGUGGCAGCUGCCUGCCCGCACGCUGCUCCCGUGCAUGGCCUCGGCAAACCCACCACGCCCAGCCCAGGCUACAGCUGCUGGAGCGUGGCUCCAUUCUAGCUGCUGACAAACAAAGGAGUGACUUGCUGUUAGUCCAGUGAGGAUUGCCAAAGGCAACAGGCUCUUAACACGGAGCUCGCUGGUCAGGGGCUGUUCCUGAGGCUGUGACAAAAUCCAGGGCAACUCAGGCCAAGGGGGUCCCGCUCCACACUCAGCUUCAUGAUCCCAGGAUGGUCUGACUGGGCCCGAAGCCACACCACCAAGCUGUGAUCUUGGCAAAACCCACAAGAGUGGUGUGAAGAUGCAAGAAAGCGCUACCAUGCUGUUUUGCAAGACAGGACGCGCUUCAUGGGUUCCAAACCAUCUCUAUAUGGGCUUUGUAAGAUCAGCUGAUUCCCUCCGAGCUAAAAAACACUGAGGAGAUGCCAAGUCA